UUGAGCGAUUUACUUCGGUAAAGAGCGGCGGACGGGUGAGUAACGCGUGGGUAACCUCCCCUGUACACACGGAUAACAUACCGAAAGGUAUGCUAAUACGGGAUAAUAUAUUUGAGAGGCAUCUCUUGAAUAUCAAAGGUGAGCCAGUACAGGAUGGACCCGCGUCUGAUUAGCUAGUUGGUAAGGUAACGGCUUACCAAGGCGACGAUCAGUAGCCGACCUGAGAGGGUGAUCGGCCACAUUGGAACUGAGACACGGUCCAAACUCCUACGGGAGGCAGCAGUGGGGAAUAUUGCACAAUGGGCGAAAGCCUGAUGCAGCAACGCCGCGUGAGGGAUGAAGGCCUUCGGGUCGUAAAACUCUGUCCUCAAGGAAGAUAAUGACGGUACUUGAGGAGGAAGCCCCGGCUAACUACGUGCCAGCAGCCGCGGUAAUACGUAGGGGGCUAGCGUUAUCCGGAUUUACUGGGCGUAAAGGGUGCGUAGGCGGUCUUUCAAGUCAGGAGUGAAAGGCUACG
Molecule: ribosomal RNA, 517 nt
Filed under: Clostridioides difficile
Lineage: Bacteria; Bacillati; Bacillota; Clostridia; Peptostreptococcales; Peptostreptococcaceae
Description: bacterial SSU rRNA
Rfam family: Bacterial small subunit ribosomal RNA
Source: RNAcentral